This 1097-nucleotide long non-coding RNA is filed under the name Prunus persica (peach). Its description in RNAcentral is "long non-coding RNA (PPER_LNC005742)". Lineage: Eukaryota; Viridiplantae; Streptophyta; Magnoliopsida; Rosales; Rosaceae. The record is from RNAcentral.
ACAUCACUCCCUUGGUACUUACGGACUCAAUUGUCUCAUUUCUUGAUUUUCAAUUUACGCAAAGUCUUUUCAAGAUAUCGUGGAAUUUAUGUCCCACAGUUUCAAUUUUAACAUAUUCAUUUGGUGUUCCAAGAUUUAACUCGUUGAUUUCAUUUCCUGAUUGUUGUUAUUAUGAUCUUUGUAUGAAUGGGACCUGGAUCAAUGUAUGUAUAGGAGGAACAUGGGGAAAGGGUAAUGGGUAACCAAUUAUCCAGGCAAACAUUACCUAUAUGCCAUUCUGAUCCCCCCAUAAAAAAUUUUCUACCAUCCAGUAAACCCGCGAAGGAUGAGAGCCACAUGUAGCAAGAAAAUCACCAUUAGCAAAGUAACGGGCUUUGAGAACCCUAACCCAGAAUGCAUUGAGGUUACUCCAAUUGCAUCAUAUCUUUGUUUGAAAACCCCUUAAUUUGUAGUAAGCUCUUUUCUUACAUGGAAAAUUGAUGACACAUCUUCACUUAACAGUCUUCACGGCCAGAUUAAUGACCAAUCGCAAAGGACCCACUAGUGUAGUGGUUUGGAGUAUUUACUCCCUCAGGCAAGGUUCUGGGUUCGAGUCCUGGCAUCUGUGUUGUAUGUGUGAGUUUAAUAUGCUAUCGCCCCUUUCAAUAGGAAAGGACCUCAAAAAAAAAAAAAAAAAAGACCAAUCGACAUUGAUGAAAAUUUGAAAGUUAAAAAAAAAAUUGCAAUAAAAUGACAAAUUUUUUUUUCUUUUCUUUUCAUGUUGCUAUUAAGAAAACAUAGGUAACGAAAUGCCUCAUCACUCUACUCAAAGUUAUAUACUUUUAAAAAAGGUCAAAAGUCACUUUUGGUAGUUUGGCACUUCCACCACUUUUGAUCAUGUAGUUCAAUUCUAUCAAUUUUGUCAUUGUAGUUUCGUAUUUGUAGCAAUUCAAGGACAUGUUAGUAUUUUUAUCAAUUUCUUUCAUGAUGCAGUGGGCAAUUUCAUCAAUCCAAAACCCUUGAGCAUAAAAGUUUGUCUGAAAUUCUCCCUAUUUCAUAUUAGGACUCGAAAUUCAACCAUUAAUCUCAAUGUUUGAAGAACCCUAAACCCAAAUAAC